GAUGAACGCUGGCGGCGUGCCUAAUACAUGCCAGUCGAGCGAACGGACGAGGAGCUUGCUUUUCUGAUGUUAGCGGCGGACGGGUGAGUAACACGUGGAUAACCUACCUAUAAGACUGGGAUAACUUCGGGAAACCGGAGCUAAUACCGGAUAAUAUUUUGAACCGCAUGGUUCAAUAGUGAAAGACGGUCUUGCUGUCACUUAUAGAUGGAUCCGCGCUGCAUUAGCUAGUUGGUAAGGUAACGGCUUACCAAGGCAACGAUGCGUAGCCGACCUGAGAGGGUGAUCGGCCACACUGGAACUGAGACACGGUCCAGACUCCUACGGGAGGCAGCAGUAGGGAAUCUUCCGCAAUGGGCGAAAGCCUGACGGAGCAACGCCGCGUGAGUGAUGAAGGUCUUCGGAUCGUAAAACUCUGUUAUUAGGGAAGAACAUAUGUGUAAGUAACUGUGCACAUCUUGACGGUACCUAAUCAGAAAGCCACGGCUAACUACGUG
This 497-nucleotide ribosomal RNA is filed under the name uncultured bacterium. RNAcentral describes it as "partial 16S ribosomal RNA". It matches the Rfam family "Bacterial small subunit ribosomal RNA", at positions 28 to 507 of the family's 1533-position model. The record is from RNAcentral.